This 656-nucleotide ribosomal RNA is filed under the name Bacillus zanthoxyli. RNAcentral's name for it is "bacterial SSU rRNA". It matches the Rfam family "Bacterial small subunit ribosomal RNA", at positions 76 to 716 of the family's 1533-position model. The record is from RNAcentral. Lineage: Bacteria; Bacillati; Bacillota; Bacilli; Caryophanales; Bacillaceae.
AAGCUUGCUUCUAUGACGUUAGCGGCGGACGGGUGAGUAACACGUGGGCAACCUGCCUGUAAGACUGGGAUAACUUCGGGAAACCGAAGCUAAUACCGGAUAGGAUCUUCUCCUUCAUGGGAGAUGAUUGAAAGAUGGUUUCGGCUAUCACUUACAGAUGGGCCCGCGGUGCAUUAGCUAGUUGGUGAGGUAACGGCUCACCAAGGCAACGAUGCAUAGCCGACCUGAGAGGGUGAUCGGCCACACUGGGACUGAGACACGGCCCAGACUCCUACGGGAGGCAGCAGUAGGGAAUCUUCCGCAAUGGACGAAAGUCUGACGGAGCAACGCCGCGUGAGUGAUGAAGGCUUUCGGGUCGUAAAACUCUGUUGUUAGGGAAGAACAAGUACAAGAGUAACUGCUCGUACCUUGACGGUACCUAACCAGAAAGCCACGGCUAACUACGUGCCAGCAGCCGCGGUAAUACGUAGGUGGCAAGCGUUAUCCGGAAUUAUUGGGCGUAAAGCGCGCGCAGGCGGUUUCUUAAGUCUGAUGUGAAAGCCCACGGCUCAACCGUGGAGGGUCAUUGGAAACUGGGGAACUUGANUGCAGAANAGAAAAGCGGAAUUCCACGUGUAGCGGUGAAAUGCGUAGAGAUGUGGAGGAACACCAGUGGC